GAGCGAAGCGACGUCAAAGCGUUCAUUAAAGUCGAGUUGGCUUAGGGAUACGUUCGUUGGGUAGGGGAGCGUUCUGUAAGCCUGUGAAGGUGUGUCGUGAGGCAUGCUGGAGGUAUCAGAAGUGCGAAUGCUGACAUAAGUAACGAUAAAGCGGGUGAAAAGCCCGCUCGCCGGAAGACCAAGGGUUCCUGUCCAACGUUAAUCGGGGCAGGGUGAGUCGACCCCUAAGGCGAGGCCGAAAGGCGUAGUCGAUGGGAAACGGGUUAAUAUUCCCGUACUUGGUGUUACUGCGAAGGGGGGACGGAGAAGGCUAUGUUGGCCGGGCGACGGUUGUCCCGGUUUAAGCGUGUAGGUGUGUGUUCCAGGUAAAUCCGGUUCACUUUAACACUGAGGCGUGACGACGAGGCACUACGGUGCUGAAGCAACAAAUGCCCUGCUUCCAGGAAAAGCCUCUAAGCAUCAGGUAACAUCAAAUCGUACCCCAAACCGACACAGGUGGUCAGGUAGAGAAUACCAAGGCGCUUGAGAGAACUCGGGUGAAGGAACUAGGCAAAAUGGUGCCGUAACUUCGGGAGAAGGCACGCUGACACGUAGGUGAAGUGAUUUACUCAUGGAGCUGAAGUCAGUCGAAGAUACCAGCUGGCUGCAACUGUUUAUUAAAAACACAGCACUGUGCAAACACGAAAGUGGACGUAUACGGUGUGACGCCUGCCCGGUGCCGGAAGGUUAAUUGAUGGGGUCAGCGCAAGCGAAGCUCCUGAUCGAAGCCCCGGUAAACGGCGGCCGUAACUAUAACGGUCCUAAGGUAGCGAAAUUCCUUGUCGGGUAAGUUCCGACCUGCACGAAUGGCGUAAUGAUGGCCAGGCUGUCUCCACCCGAGACUCAGUGAAAUUGAACUCGCUGUGAAGAUGCAGUGUACCCGCGGCAAGACGGAAAGACCCCGUGAACCUUUACUAUAGCUUGACACUGAACAUUGAGCCUUGAUGUGUAGGAUAGGUGGGAGGCUUUGAAGUGUGGACGCCAGUCUGCAUGGAGCCGACCUUGAAAUACCACCCUUUAAUGUUUGAUGUUCUAACGUGGACCCGUAAUCCGGGUUGCGGACAGUGUCUGGUGGGUAGUUUGACUGGGGCGGUCUCCUCCUAAAGAGUAACGGAGGAGCACGAAGGUUGGCUAAUCCUGGUCGGACAUCAGGAGGUUAGUGCAAUGGCAUAAGCCAGCUUGACUGCGAGCGUGACGGCGCGAGCAGGUGCGAAAG
Molecule: ribosomal RNA, 1255 nt
Filed under: Salmonella enterica
Lineage: Bacteria; Pseudomonadati; Pseudomonadota; Gammaproteobacteria; Enterobacterales; Enterobacteriaceae
Description: partial 23S ribosomal RNA
Rfam family: Bacterial large subunit ribosomal RNA
Source: RNAcentral